UUGAGGCGUGGCUUCCGGAGCUAACGCGUUAAAUCGACCGCCUGGGGAGUACGGCCGCAAGGUUAAAACUCAAAUGAAUUGACGGGGGCCCGCACAAGCGGUGGAGCAUGUGGUUUAAUUCGAUGCAACGCGAAGAACCUUACCUACUCUUGACAUCCAGAGAACUUUCCAGAGAUGGAUUGGUGCCUUCGGGAACUCUGAGACAGGUGCUGCAUGGCUGUCGUCAGCUCGUGUUGUGAAAUGUUGGGUUAAGUCCCGCAACGAGCGCAACCCUUAUCCUUUGUUGCCAGCGGUUCGGCCGGGAACUCAAAGGAGACUGCCAGUGAUAAACUGGAGGAAGGUGGGGAUGACGUCAAGUCAUCAUGGCCCUUACGAGUAGGGCUACACACGUGCUACAAUGGCGUAUACAAAGAGAAGCGACCUCGCGAGAGCAAGCGGACCUCAUAAAGUACGUCGUAGUCCGGAUUGGAGUCUGCAACUCGACUCCAUGAAGUCGGAAUCGCUAGUAAUCGUAGAUCAGAAUGCUACGGUGAAUACGUUCCCGGGCCUUGUACACACCGCCCGUCACACCAUGGGAGUGGGUUGCAAAAGAAGUAGGUAGCUUAACCUUCGGGAGGGCGCUUACCACUUUGUGAUUCAUGACUGGGGUGAAGUCGUAACAAGGUAACCGUAGGGGAACCUGCGGUUG
Molecule: ribosomal RNA, 688 nt
Filed under: Serratia marcescens
Lineage: Bacteria; Pseudomonadati; Pseudomonadota; Gammaproteobacteria; Enterobacterales; Yersiniaceae
Also listed under: 1 other name
Description: bacterial SSU rRNA
Rfam family: Bacterial small subunit ribosomal RNA
Source: RNAcentral